AACGAACGCUGGCGGCGCGUCUUAAGCAUGCAAGUCGAACGGUAAGAAGGAGCUUGCUUCUUCCUAGAGUGGCGGACUGGUGAGUAACGCGUGGAUGACGUACCCUUAUGACGGGGAUAGCCGAUAGAAAUAUCGGAUAAUACCGGAUAAUCUCUUUUGGGGUAAAGACGAAAGAGGAAAGCGGCUUCGGCCGCGCAGAAGGAACGGUCCGCGUCCUAUCAGCUAGUCGGCAGGGUAAAGGCCUGCCGAGGCGACGACGGGUAUCCGGCCUGAGAGGGUGGACGGACACAUUGGGACUGAGAUACGGCCCAGACUCCUACGGGAGGCAGCAGCUAAGAAUAUUCCGCAAUGGACGAAAGUCUGACGGAGCGACGCCGCGUGGAUGAUGAAGGCCGGAAGGUUGUAAAGUCCUUUUAUCCGUGAAGAAGAAGAUUAAGAGGGAAUGCUUAAUUGGUGACGGUAGCGGAUGAAUAAGCACCGGCUAAUUACGUGCCAGCAGCCGCGGUAACACGUAAGGUGCGAGCGUUGUUCGGAAUUAUUGGGCGUAAAGGGCAUGCAGGCGGUCGUGCAAGCCCGGCGUGAAAGACGGGGGCUCAACUCCCGAAGUGCGCUGGGAACUGCAGGGCUUGAGUUUCUGAAGGGCAGCCGGAAUUCCACGUGUAGGGGUGAAAUCUGUAGAUAUGUGGAAGAACACCAAUGGCGAAGGCAGGUUGCCGGCAGAAGACUGACGCUGAGGUGCGAAGGUGCGGGGAGCAAACAGG
Molecule: ribosomal RNA, 761 nt
Filed under: Treponema amylovorum
Lineage: Bacteria; Pseudomonadati; Spirochaetota; Spirochaetia; Treponematales; Treponemataceae
Description: bacterial SSU rRNA
Rfam family: Bacterial small subunit ribosomal RNA
Source: RNAcentral